RNAcentral lists this ribosomal RNA (421 nucleotides) under uncultured bacterium. RNAcentral describes it as "partial 16S ribosomal RNA". It matches the Rfam family "Bacterial small subunit ribosomal RNA", at positions 361 to 774 of the family's 1533-position model. The record is from RNAcentral.
AUCUUCCGCAAUAGACGAAAGUCUGACGGACCAGCGCCGCUUGAGUGAUGAAGGUUUUCGGCUCGUAAAACUCGGUUGGUAUGGAAGAACAAGUAUCCGAGUCACUGCCGUUAGCUUGUCGGUGCCUGACGAGAAAGCCACGGCUAACUACGUGCCAGCCGCCGCGGUAAUACGUAGGUGGCACGCGUUGUCCGGAUUUAUUGGGCGUAAAGAGGGCGCAGGCGGUCUUUUAAGUCUGAUGUGAAAUCUUACAGCUUAACUGUAAGCGGUCAUUGGAAACUGGGAAACUUGAGUGCAGAAGAGGAGAGUGGAAUUCCAUGUGUAGCGGUGAAAUGCGUAGAGAUAUGGAGGAACACCAGAGGCGAAGGCGACUCUCUGGUCUGUAACUGACGCUGAGGCGCGAAAGCGUGGGGAUCAAACA